AGCAGAAGAAGAAGAAUCU
RNAcentral lists this small RNA (19 nucleotides) under Arabidopsis thaliana (thale cress). RNAcentral describes it as "ATSL242630". The record is from RNAcentral. Lineage: Eukaryota; Viridiplantae; Streptophyta; Magnoliopsida; Brassicales; Brassicaceae.